RNAcentral lists this ribosomal RNA (1654 nucleotides) under Salmonella enterica. RNAcentral describes it as "partial 23S ribosomal RNA". It matches the Rfam family "Bacterial large subunit ribosomal RNA", at positions 588 to 2141 of the family's 2925-position model. The record is from RNAcentral. Lineage: Bacteria; Pseudomonadati; Pseudomonadota; Gammaproteobacteria; Enterobacterales; Enterobacteriaceae.
GUGGGGUGACUGCGUACCUUUUGUAUAAUGGGUCAGCGACUUAUAUUCUGUAGCAAGGUUAACCGUAUAGGGGAGCCGCAGGGAAACCGAGUCUUAACCGGGCGUUAAGUUGCAGGGUAUAGACCCGAAACCCGGUGAUCUAGCCAUGGGCAGGUUGAAGGUUGGGUAACACUAACUGGAGGACCGAACCGACUAAUGUUGAAAAAUUAGCGGAUGACCUGUGGCUGGGGGUGAAAGGCCAAUCAAACCGGGAGAUAGCUGGUUCUCCCCGAAAGCUAUUUAGGUAGCGCCUCGUGAACUCAUCUCCGGGGGUAGAGCACUGUUUCGGCUAGGGGGCCAUCCCGGCUUACCAACCCGAUGCAAACUGCGAAUACCGGAGAAUGUUAUCACGGGAGACACACGGCGGGUGCUAACGUCCGUCGUGAAGAGGGAAACAACCCAGACCGCCAGCUAAGGUCCCAAAGUCAUGGUUAAGUGGGAAACGAUGUGGGAAGGCCCAGACAGCCAGGAUGUUGGCUUAGAAGCAGCCAUCAUUUAAAGAAAGCGUAAUAGCUCACUGGUCGAGUCGGCCUGCGCGGAAGAUGUAACGGGGCUAAACCAUGCACCGAAGCUGCGGCAGCGAACGUAUCACCCAAGACAACUUUACGGAGUUGACGAUUGACGGAGCGAAGCGACGUCAAAGCGUUCAUUAAAGUCGAGUUGGCUUAGGGAUACGUUCGUUGGGUAGGGGAGCGUUCUGUAAGCCUGCGAAGGUGGCCUGUGAGGGUUGCUGGAGGUAUCAGAAGUGCGAAUGCUGACAUAAGUAACGAUAAAGCGGGUGAAAAGCCCGCUCGCCGGAAGACCAAGGGUUCCUGUCCAACGUUAAUCGGGGCAGGGUGAGUCGACCCCUAAGGCGAGGCCGAAAGGCGUAGUCGAUGGGAAACGGGUUAAUAUUCCCGUACUUGGUGUUACUGCGAAGGGGGGACGGAGAAGGCUAUGUUGGCCGGGCGACGGUUGUCCCGGUUUAAGCGUGUAGGUGUGUGUUCCAGGUAAAUCCGGUUCACUUUAACACUGAGGCGUGACGACGAGGCACUACGGUGCUGAAGCAACAAAUGCCCUGCUUCCAGGAAAAGCCUCUAAGCAUCAGGUAACAUCAAAUCGUACCCCAAACCGACACAGGUGGUCAGGUAGAGAAUACCAAGGCGCUUGAGAGAACUCGGGUGAAGGAACUAGGCAAAAUGGUGCCGUAACUUCGGGAGAAGGCACGCUGACACGUAGGUGAAGUGAUUUACUCAUGGAGCUGAAGUCAGUCGAAGAUACCAGCUGGCUGCAACUGUUUAUUAAAAACACAGCACUGUGCAAACACGAAAGUGGACGUAUACGGUGUGACGCCUGCCCGGUGCCGGAAGGUUAAUUGAUGGGGUCAGCGCAAGCGAAGCUCCUGAUCGAAGCCCCGGUAAACGGCGGCCGUAACUAUAACGGUCCUAAGGUAGCGAAAUUCCUUGUCGGGUAAGUUCCGACCUGCACGAAUGGCGUAAUGAUGGCCAGGCUGUCUCCACCCGAGACUCAGUGAAAUUGAACUCGCUGUGAAGAUGCAGUGUACCCGCGGCAAGACGGAAAGACCCCGUGAACCUUUACUAUAGCUUGACACUGAACAUUGAGCCUUGAUGUGUAG